This 430-nucleotide ribosomal RNA is filed under the name Pseudomonadota bacterium. Its description in RNAcentral is "Proteobacteria bacterium partial 16S ribosomal RNA". It matches the Rfam family "Bacterial small subunit ribosomal RNA", at positions 355 to 776 of the family's 1533-position model. The record is from RNAcentral. Lineage: Bacteria; Pseudomonadati; Pseudomonadota.
UGGGGAAUAUUGGACAAUGGGGGGAACCCUGAUCCAGCCAUGCCGCGUGUGUGAAGAAGGCCUUAUGGUUGUAAAGCACUUUAAGCGAGGAGGAGGGUACUGGUAUUAAUACUACCAGCUACUGGACGUUACUCGCAGAAUAAGCACCGGCUAACUCUGUGCCAGCAGCCGCGGUAAUACAGAGGGUGCGAGCGUUAAUCGAAUUUACUGGGCGUAAAGCGUGCGUAGGCGGCUAAUUGAGUCGGAUGUGAAAUCCCCGAGCUUAACUUGGGAAUUGCAUUCGAUACUGGUUAGCUAGAGUGUGGGAGAGGAUGGUAGAAUCCCAGGUGUAGCGGUGAAAUGCGUAGAGAUCUGGAGGAAUGCCGAUGGCGAAGGCAGCCAUCUGGCCUAACACUGACGCUGAGGUACGAAAGCAUGGGGAGCAAACAGG